This 1048-nucleotide long non-coding RNA is filed under the name Macaca mulatta (Rhesus monkey). RNAcentral's name for it is "lncRNA (ENSMMUG00000050831.1)". Lineage: Eukaryota; Metazoa; Chordata; Mammalia; Primates; Cercopithecidae. The record is from RNAcentral.
CCCCCUUCCCCAGCAGGCUGGUGCCGAGGACCUUCAGUUGCCCUUGGGGCGGGGAGACUGGCUCAUUUCUAAUAGUCUUUUUCUUUAAAGCAACUGAGGCCUGGGGAGAGGGUUAGGGAGGCACCGGGUGAUAGAAAGAGAAGAAAGAUCCACACCAGUAAAAAGGGAACAACUCCUUAAUUAACAGGCAAUAGUGGGGAGGACUGUUUAUUUCCCAGUUAAUUAUACAAUUUAGUGAACAUGUUUGCUACUGAUUUCUAUGGACGUCCCUUAAAUCCUGUUAAUAGACCUUUGAGGCCCUCAUAGUUCCUUUUAUAGAAAGCCAUGUUGUGGUCAACACCCAUCCUGUUUACUACAACUGUCAGAAAUCGAAGGAUCUGAGACUUUCCCCACAGGGAAGCUAACAAGGCAGCCUACCACAUUUUCAGUGUUGGCGGCAGGAAACAAGAGACUCCUGGAUCAGAGACAAAGGACAGUUUAUUACUCACAGCAAAAGCAGUAGAUGGAAGAUUUCUGUGGCAUUUUGUGCUACUUCCAUGAGCCCCAGUUUCCACAGGAUGAUACGAAAAGGGCCAGAUGACAUUUGCACGUGCUGUACAUUGUAUUACAGGAGAACUCAGAACUCUUGAGUCGAGAGAACUGGAGACUUUUAGAACAGGAUUAACCACGCCUGUCUUUUGUUCCAGAAGUAGAAACAUUAUCUUCAUUGUGUUGGGCAAUAAGACGCCUGCCCUUCGCUCUGAAAGAUGACAUUAUUUUUAUCAUCCAAGGCUGUCUGCUGUACAUACGUUCUUGAAAAGAUUGCCUGGAACAAUGGCGAUCAGUGUUUUGCUUAUAACAUAUGACGUGUAGAAAUCCGUGGAGAAAUGUCUCCCAAUGGACUUCCGACUCCUCACUUCCAAGAAGCUUCCGCUCUCUUCCUGAGGAGCCUGUGAGUUCCCUUGAGCAAACACUACUCCUAAAGAGUCUGCUCAGGACAGGGCAGGGGACACAGCCCCACCUCUCCACGGGGGAUUGUGCAACCCUUUGCAGUUAUCUUUAAAUUCAC